AUCUUCUUUGGUCUGAGUACACCUGAUUUCAUCUGAUCUUAGAAGCUAAGCAGUUUCAGGCCUGGUUAGUACUUGGAUGGGAGAUU
Molecule: ribosomal RNA, 86 nt
Filed under: Octodon degus (degu)
Lineage: Eukaryota; Metazoa; Chordata; Mammalia; Rodentia; Octodontidae
Source: RNAcentral